RNAcentral lists this ribosomal RNA (492 nucleotides) under uncultured bacterium. RNAcentral's name for it is "partial 16S ribosomal RNA". It matches the Rfam family "Bacterial small subunit ribosomal RNA", at positions 29 to 507 of the family's 1533-position model. The record is from RNAcentral.
AGUGAACGCUGGCGGUAGGCCUAACACAUGCAAGUCGAACGGCAGCACAGUAAGAGCUUGCUCUUACGGGUGGCGAGUGGCGGACGGGUGAGGAAUACAUCGGAAUCUACUUUUUCGUGGGGGAUAACGUAGGGAAACUUACGCUAAUACCGCAUACGACCUACGGGUGAAAGCAGGGGAUCUUCGGACCUUGCGCGAUUGAAUGAGCCGAUGUCGGAUUAGCUAGUUGGCGGGGUAAAGGCCCACCAAGGCGACGAUCCGUAGCUGGUCUGAGAGGAUGAUCAGCCACACUGGAACAGAGACACGGUCCACACUGCUACGGGAAGACACAGUGGGGAAUAUUGGGCAAAGGGGGCGAGCCUGAUCCAGCCAUACCGCGUAGGUGAAGAAGGCCUUCGGGUUGUAAAGUCCUGUUGUUGGGAAAGAAAAGCAGCAGGUUAAUACCCCGCUGUUCUGACGGUACCCAAAGAAUAAGCACCGGCUAACUUCGUG